CUGAAAAACUUUUCAAAAAUAGUUUUUUUAUAUCCCAUUGUCUACCUACCAUGUUGCUUCCACUGGACAUGUUUUACCCUAUGUGUGAGACCUUUGGCUUGAGUGAGUAACUCAAGUCAGGGAGUUGCCGGUGGCAAGACCAUUUACCAAAAUUUGAUUAAAAACACAUUAUCUGAAUCUUUUGCUUCAAUAUAAUA
RNAcentral lists this unclassified non-coding RNA (197 nucleotides) under uncultured Peziza. RNAcentral describes it as "sequence contains ITS1". The record is from RNAcentral. Lineage: Eukaryota; Fungi; Ascomycota; Pezizomycetes; Pezizales; Pezizaceae.